CGGAAGAUGCGAGCGUUAUCCGGAUUUAUUGGGUUUAAAGGGAGCGUAGGCGGGCGAUUAAGUCAGCGGUAAAAUAGAGUGGCUCAACCAUUCUCCGCCGUUGAUACUGGUUGUCUUGAGUUCACACAAGGAAGAUGGAAUUCGUGGUGUAGCGGUGAAAUGCUUAGAUAUCACGAAGAACUCCGAUUGCGAAGGCAGUCUUCUGGGGUGUUACUGACGCUGAGGCUCGAAAGUGCGGGUAUCAAACAGGAUU
RNAcentral lists this ribosomal RNA (253 nucleotides) under uncultured bacterium. Its description in RNAcentral is "partial 16S ribosomal RNA". It matches the Rfam family "Bacterial small subunit ribosomal RNA", at positions 526 to 779 of the family's 1533-position model. The record is from RNAcentral.